Molecule: long non-coding RNA, 648 nt
Organism: Passer domesticus (house sparrow)
Lineage: Eukaryota; Metazoa; Chordata; Aves; Passeriformes; Passeridae
Exons: 3
Source: RefSeq, a predicted model, not a curated record
UGCUGGUCAGGGCUGGAGGGGUGUGGAGAUAGAUUUUUUUUUUUUUCUUCUCUGUCGCGAGUUAGAAAUGUUGGCAGUGCUUUGCUCUCUGAUUAGUGAUCCAAGCUGGUGGGCUGAGGUGUUUUGGUAUUCUUGCUUAAAAUACCUCUUUUAUUAGGGGGGAAAAAGUGUAGAGUGAGAAACAUCAGAGUGGUAGAUGAGAGGCAGAAGACCAGGCCCUUCUGUAUUUUGCAUUUCCCAGCUCUUCACAAAGCAGCGGCGCAGCCGCCUCAGGAAAUCCCAAAAUGCAUCAGGGAGGUUGUAAAUCUGCCUCAGCUGGGCAUUUUUUGGUAAUCUUCUGAUCUAAAUGUUAUUUUCACUGGCCAAUAAUAAAGGACUGCUGAAAGAGCAGCACCUUGCCCUGUAGCACCCCGAAGGCAGGGCCACAACUUCAGAAAAGUACAUGAGGGCAGAAACCUCCUCUCCCUGGAAAGGGUUUCCCUCUCUUUGGGACAGCCCACAGACAGGUCAAGGAGGGAUACAAACGCAUCUCUGCUGUGGGGCUGCAGGUAGGAAGAGGGAGUUUGGCUCACAUCUUCAGGCCAUGGCUCAAAAGAUUCCAAGCAGAAGGAGCCUGGACGUGUAAAUUCCUCAUGCCUUGGUGGGAUG